Molecule: ribosomal RNA, 2540 nt
Filed under: Enterobacter asburiae
Lineage: Bacteria; Pseudomonadati; Pseudomonadota; Gammaproteobacteria; Enterobacterales; Enterobacteriaceae
Description: partial 23S ribosomal RNA
Rfam family: Bacterial large subunit ribosomal RNA
Source: RNAcentral
AAGAGUAGGGCGGGACACGUGGUAUCCUGUCUGAAUAUGGGGGGACCAUCCUCCAAGGCUAAAUACUCCUGACUGACCGAUAGUGAACCAGUACCGUGAGGGAAAGGCGAAAAGAACCCCGGCGAGGGGAGUGAAAAAGAACCUGAAACCGUGUACGUACAAGCAGUGGGAGCACCUUCGUGGUGUGACUGCGUACCUUUUGUAUAAUGGGUCAGCGACUUAUAUUCUGUAGCAAGGUUAACCGUAUAGGGGAGCCGAAGGGAAACCGAGUCUUAACUGGGCGUUAAGUUGCAGGGUAUAGACCCGAAACCCGGUGAUCUAGCCAUGGGCAGGUUGAAGGUUGGGUAACACUAACUGGAGGACCGAACCGACUAAUGUUGAAAAAUUAGCGGAUGACUUGUGGCUGGGGGUGAAAGGCCAAUCAAACCGGGAGAUAGCUGGUUCUCCCCGAAAGCUAUUUAGGUAGCGCCUCGUGAACUCAUCUUCGGGGGUAGAGCACUGUUUCGGCUAGGGGGCCAUCCCGGCUUACCAACCCGAUGCAAACUACGAAUACCGAAGAAUGUUAUCACGGGAGACACACGGCGGGUGCUAACGUCCGUCGUGAAGAGGGAAACAACCCAGACCGCCAGCUAAGGUCCCAAAGUCAUGGUUAAGUGGGAAACGAUGUGGGAAGGCACAGACAGCCAGGAUGUUGGCUUAGAAGCAGCCAUCAUUUAAAGAAAGCGUAAUAGCUCACUGGUCGAGUCGGCCUGCGCGGAAGAUGUAACGGGGCUAAACCAUGCACCGAAGCUGCGGCAGCGACGCUUAUGCGUUGUUGGGUAGGGGAGCGUUCUGUAAGCCGUUGAAGGUGUCCUGUGAGGGGUGCUGGAGGUAUCAGAAGUGCGAAUGCUGACAUAAGUAACGAUAAAGCGGGUGAAAAGCCCGCUCGCCGGAAGACCAAGGGUUCCUGUCCAACGUUAAUCGGGGCAGGGUGAGUCGACCCCUAAGGCGAGGCCGAAAGGCGUAGUCGAUGGGAAACAGGUUAAUAUUCCUGUACUUGGUGUUACUGCGAAGGGGGGACGGAGAAGGCUAUGUUAGCCGGGCGACGGUUGUCCCGGUUUAAGCAUGUAGGCGGAACGAUUAGGUAAAUCCGGUCGUUUAUUAACGCUGAGGUGUGAUGACGAGGCACUACGGUGCUGAAGUAACAAAUGCCCUGCUUCCAGGAAAAGCCUCUAAGCAUCAGGUAACAUCAAAUCGUACCCCAAACCGACACAGGUGGUCAGGUAGAGAAUACCAAGGCGCUUGAGAGAACUCGGGUGAAGGAACUAGGCAAAAUGGUGCCGUAACUUCGGGAGAAGGCACGCUGAUAUGUAGGUGAAGCCCCUGCGGGUGGAGCUGAAAUCAGUCGAAGAUACCAGCUGGCUGCAACUGUUUAUUAAAAACACAGCACUGUGCAAACACGAAAGUGGACGUAUACGGUGUGACGCCUGCCCGGUGCCGGAAGGUUAAUUGAUGGGGUUAGCGGCAACGCGAAGCUCUUGAUCGAAGCCCCGGUAAACGGCGGCCGUAACUAUAACGGUCCUAAGGUAGCGAAAUUCCUUGUCGGGUAAGUUCCGACCUGCACGAAUGGCGUAAUGAUGGCCAGGCUGUCUCCACCCGAGACUCAGUGAAAUUGAACUCGCUGUGAAGAUGCAGUGUACCCGCGGCAAGACGGAAAGACCCCGUGAACCUUUACUAUAGCUUGACACUGAACACUGGUCCUUGAUGUGUAGGAUAGGUGGGAGGCUUUGAAGCGUGGACGCCAGUCUGCGUGGAGCCGACCUUGAAAUACCACCCUUUAAUGGCUGGUGUUCUAACGUAGACCCGUGAUCCGGGUUGCGGACAGUGUCUGGUGGGUAGUUUGACUGGGGCGGUCUCCUCCCAAAGAGUAACGGAGGAGCACGAAGGUUAGCUAAUCCUGGUCGGACAUCAGGAGGUUAGUGCAAUGGCAUAAGCUAGCUUGACUGCGAGAGUGACGGCUCGAGCAGGUGCGAAAGCAGGUCAUAGUGAUCCGGUGGUUCUGAAUGGAAGGGCCAUCGCUCAACGGAUAAAAGGUACUCCGGGGAUAACAGGCUGAUACCGCCCAAGAGUUCAUAUCGACGGCGGUGUUUGGCACCUCGAUGUCGGCUCAUCACAUCCUGGGGCUGAAGUAGGUCCCAAGGGUAUGGCUGUUCGCCAUUUAAAGUGGUACGCGAGCUGGGUUUAGAACGUCGUGAGACAGUUCGGUCCCUAUCUGCCGUGGGCGCUGGAGAAUUGAGGGGGGCUGCUCCUAGUACGAGAGGACCGGAGUGGACGCAUCACUGGUGUUCGGGUUGUCAUGCCAAUGGCACUGCCCGGUAGCUAAAUGCGGAAAAGAUAAGUGCUGAAAGCAUCUAAGCACGAAACUUGCCCCGAGAUGAGUUCUCCCUGACCCUUUAAGGGUCCUGAAGGAACGUUGAAGACUACGACGUUGAUAGGUCGGGUGUGUAAGCGCAGCGAUGCGUUGAGCUAACCGAUACUAAUGAACCGUGAGGCUUAACCUU